This 482-nucleotide ribosomal RNA is filed under the name uncultured bacterium. RNAcentral describes it as "partial 16S ribosomal RNA". It matches the Rfam family "Bacterial small subunit ribosomal RNA", at positions 30 to 507 of the family's 1533-position model. The record is from RNAcentral.
AUUGAACGCUGGCGGCAUGCUUUACACAUGCAAGUCGAACGGUAACAGGCCGCAAGGUGCUGACGGGUGGCGAACGGGUGAGUAAUGCAUCGGAACGUGCCCAGUCGUGGGGGAUAACUACUCGAAAGAGUAGCUAAUACUGCAUACGAUCUAUGGAUGAAAGCGGGGGACCGUAAGGCCUCGCGCGAUUGGAGCGGCCGAUGUCAGAUUAGGUAGUUGGUGGGGUAAAGGCUCACCAAGCCAACGAUCUGUAGCUGGUCUGAGAGGACGACCAGCCACACUGGGACUGAGACACGGCCCAGACUCCUACGGGAGGCAGCAGUGGGGAAUUUUGGACAAUGGGCGCAAGCCUGAUCCAGCAAUGCCGCGUGCAGGAAGAAGGCCUUCGGGUUGUAAACUGCUUUUGUACGGAACGAAACGGCUCUGGUUAAUACCCGGGGCUAAUGACGGUACCGUAAGAAUAAGCACCGGCUAACUACGUG